Molecule: long non-coding RNA, 1556 nt
Organism: Hippocampus zosterae (dwarf seahorse)
Lineage: Eukaryota; Metazoa; Chordata; Actinopteri; Syngnathiformes; Syngnathidae
Exons: 2
Source: RefSeq, a predicted model, not a curated record
GCCGCGGAGCCAUCGAGCCUCGGACCUGCGAAGGGCCCGCGCCGGUCGCAGCAUCCCUUCCUCUCCGUCGUCUUGCGUUCGGCGCGUCUGAAUGGCAAGACCAAUUCGGUCCGAGCUCACUGUCGGGGCUUCGUCGGCUCUGAAUUUGGAGUCGUCCGACUCAAAUGCGGUCUGAGGGUUGCUUGGGGUUUGGCGUUCAGGUCCGGUCCGCCGCGUUCAGCCAAAGGUCAAAAAACACCUCAAGUCUAGUUUCAUUGUCGAGUUCUAUGUGUAGUCGGAUUGUCAGUUCGGAGUGAAGUUCAGGUCCGUUCAGUCGCAAUGUCAAAGUCCAAACGGGAAGUCCGGCUCAGGUCUGGGUAGUAAUCCGAACGGUCGGGUCUGAGUCAGGAGUCGAGCUAGAUUUGACCGCCGAGUCCCAUCCAGUCCGAAUGAUGGGUACGGUCUCGGUUUUGGAAUCGGGUUCUGUCUAGCCAUUUUGAAAAGUCAAACCUCAUCGUUGACUUUCGAGGCUGUUUGGGUCUGACUGUUGUAUCCAAAGGCCUGGACCGGAGUCUCCUCUGGACUUAUGCGGCCAACUCUGGUCUCAGUACUGACUCCCCACGUUUCGGCCGGUCCGAACUUGGAAUUGAGUUCGGUCUGAGUGACGAGUCCAAAUCAAGUCUCGGGCUUGAGUCCAAGGUCCCGUUGGCUCGGAGCUAUGAAUGAAGCCGGACUCUGGUCUGGGUGUUGCUGAUGCUUAGUCGGGUUGGAAUUUGGAGUCGAUUUGAAGGUUGUGUCUAAAGUCCUGCUAGAAUCUGAGCGACCACGUCCACAACAGGUCCAGCGUCAAUGUUGUCUGUUUCGUCGGGUCUGAUUUGGGACCUGUGGGCUGGCUCUCUUCCAAAGAUCUUGGGUUUUUUUUUUGUUUCUCGUCAAUGUUUGUUUUUAAUUUAUUUGUGUUUGCUCCACGAUUGUCGAGAGGACGCAGGAUAUGAUCUGCUCAAAGUAUUCUAACUUAUUCUGUCCGAUUUUUUUUUUUCGUUCUCCGUAAUGUUACAUUUUCCCAAAAGUCACUUUUUUUUGGUUUGUUUUUUCAAAAGACGUGACAUGAAAAAAACAACUCGAAUGUUCGCUUGAAGCGCGACUUUUGCUUCAAAGAUUUGAAGUUGAAAGAUUCUCAUAAAAUCAGGACCUCGUGAAUUGGAAAAAAAAAUCACCAAAAAUGAAAUGCGAAAAGUUGAGUUUUCAUGCUUUUUUUUUGGUGUGUGUGUUUUGUUUUUGUUUGUUUUGUUUUGGAACGUGACCCAUGGAAUAUUUGAAUUUCUUAACGUCUGUUACGAAACAACCACAACGCUCCACAAGAAUAUAAAACUCCAGGAGCAGAUGCAAGUAUGCAAAGGAAAAAAAAAUGCAGUACAAUGCUAUUCUCAAAAGUUUUUUUUUUCUCACGAAACAGAACUUUUGGAAUGAACAAAAAAUAGUUGUAGCAUUCUACAAGUUAAAUCCAGAUUGAGGGAAAGCCACCACAAAUGCAGUGGAGGAAGCUUCCCCGAUUUCUUUUUAUUUUAUUUUAUUUU